Molecule: transfer RNA, 91 nt
Filed under: Dipodomys ordii (Ord's kangaroo rat)
Lineage: Eukaryota; Metazoa; Chordata; Mammalia; Rodentia; Heteromyidae
Rfam family: tRNA
About the family: Transfer RNA (tRNA) molecules are approximately 80 nucleotides in length. Their secondary structure includes four short double-helical elements and three loops (D, anti-codon, and T loops). Further hydrogen bonds mediate the characteristic L-shaped molecular structure. tRNAs have two regions of fundamental functional importance: the anti-codon, which is responsible for specific mRNA codon recognition, and the 3' end, to which the tRNAs corresponding amino acid is attached (by aminoacyl-tRNA synthetases). tRNAs cope with the degeneracy of the genetic code in two manners: having more than one tRNA (with a specific anti-codon) for a particular amino acid; and 'wobble' base-pairing, i.e. permitting non-standard base-pairing at the 3rd anti-codon position.
Source: Rfam by way of RNAcentral
GGAGCUGUGGCUUAAGUGGUAAAGCACUGGCCUCCUUGAGCACAAAAGCUCAGGGAGAGUGCCCAGGUUUUGAGUUCAAGCUCCAGCUCCA